CACACAUACACACACACACAAUCUUCCAUUUGCUGGUUCAGUCUCCCAGAUGCCUACACUGGCCGAGGCUGGGCCAAACUGACGUCAGGAACUCCACCUCAGCCUCCCGCAUGGGUGGCAGGAACUAAAAUACUUGGGUUGUCAUCUGUUGCCUCCCAGGUGCAUAAAGCGCAGCUGUAUUGGAAGCAGAAUAGCUGGGUCUUGAACCAGGCGCUUCAAGGAGGGAUGCAGACAUUGUGAGAAGUAGCCUAUCCACUGCCCUGCAACGCUGCCCCUGGAUCUGCGGGACCAGAAUGCAACUGUGGAGGACACGAGCACUAGCAGAGACCAAGGAAGAACAGAAAAACCCUGGAACCUUUGGGAUGACGCUGUGAGCUGCUGGGGAAAAUAACUCGUGGAUGAAAUGGGCUCCACGAUGCUUUCCCUCCCUCUGCUCCUCAUUCUGUUUCAUAAGAGAAUAAAAAAUGGAAGGGAACUCAGAGUGUUUAGUGCGAUACGUAGGAACUUUCUACAGGAACAGAUCAUAGCCACCCUGUCCUGAAAAGCCAAUGAACACUCUCUAUGGCUACCGGUGGUUCUUUCUGUGAUCAACACUUCUUUAGAUGACUCAUUCCCAAGAGGAUGGAAGAGGGAGAAGCCCUGAAAACAUGACAUCAUACUGUGGUUUGAAAAAUUAAGAAUCAAUUUAUAUAUGGCCAGAAUAGACUUUGGUCAUUUCUGAAGUAAAGCAAUGGUUCUCAAACAGGGUAAUUUUGCCACCAGGGAACAUGUUGCAAGGUCACACUAGAGGGCGCUAAUGGCCAUCAUAUGAUUUUGCUGUCAUCCAAUGCCCUCAAGAUGUCCACAGUGCUGAGACUAAGAAACACUGCAUCAAAGUUACACACAAAUUUCAAGAAUCAUUAGGCCGGCGCCGCGGCUCAAUAGACUAAUCCUCCACCUAGCGGCACCGGCACACCGGGUUCUAGUCCCGGUUGGGGCGCCAGAUUCUUUCCCAGUUGCCCCUCUUCCAGGCUAGCUCUCUGCUGUGGUCCGGGAGUGCAGUGGAGGAUGGCCCAGGUGCUUGGGCCCUGCACCCCAUGGGAGACCAGGAGAAGCACCUGGCUCCUGCCUUCGGAUCAGCGCGGUGCACCGGCCAUUGGAGGAUGAACCAACGGCAAAAGGAAGACCUUUCUCUCUGUCUCUCUCUCACUAUCCACUCUGCCUGUCCAAAAAAAAAAAAAAAAAAAAAAAAAAAAAAAAAAAAAAAAAUCAUUA
Oryctolagus cuniculus (rabbit) is the source of this 1254-nucleotide non-coding RNA. Lineage: Eukaryota; Metazoa; Chordata; Mammalia; Lagomorpha; Leporidae. The record is from RefSeq and is a predicted model, not a curated record.